GGCAGUGGUAGCUCAGUGGCUAAGCCAUUGGACUACUGAUGGAAAGGUCAUGAGUUCAACCCCCAGCACUACCA
This is a non-coding RNA of Pangasius djambal, 74 nucleotides long. The record is from the annotation of a GenBank genome assembly. Lineage: Eukaryota; Metazoa; Chordata; Actinopteri; Siluriformes; Pangasiidae.